GCUCGUUGUGAGUGACUUCAACCGAGACCAUCGAGGUAAGUGCAAGGCCCCCAUGUACGGCUGACGGUGGAUGCUGCGAAGGCCAUGGAAGUCUUAAGGAGGGUUUGUAGUGUUGUAGACGUCUUGUUGGAUUCUCUCGGUUAUUAGUUAUUGCAAUUGUCCCUCUAGUUAUCCAUUGUUUAUUUCUAGGUUAGGUUGUCGUUAUUGUUUUCCCCAGGCAUGAGCUGCUUAUAAUAAUGAACGUAUUGUCAGUUUU
Long non-coding RNA from Cucurbita moschata (crookneck pumpkin), 256 nucleotides. RefSeq lists it as uncharacterized. The transcript is spliced from 2 exons. NCBI's taxonomy places the organism in Eukaryota, Viridiplantae, Streptophyta, Magnoliopsida, Cucurbitales, Cucurbitaceae. The record is from RefSeq and is a predicted model, not a curated record.